Molecule: ribosomal RNA, 447 nt
Filed under: uncultured bacterium
Lineage: Bacteria
Description: partial 16S ribosomal RNA
Rfam family: Bacterial small subunit ribosomal RNA
Source: RNAcentral
AGCGAACGCUGGCGGCAGGCUUAACACAUGCAAGUCGAACGCCCCGCAAGGGGAGUGGCAGACGGGUGAGUAACACGUGGGAACGUACCCUUUGGUUCGGAAUAACUUGGGGAAACUCAAGCUAAUACCGGAUAAGCCCUUAUGGGGAAAGGUUUACUGCCGAAGGAUCGGCCCGCGUCUGAUUAGCUAGUUGGUGAGGUAAUGGCUCACCAAGGCGACGAUCAGUAGCUGGUCUGAGAGGAUGAUCAGCCACACUGGGACUGAGACACGGCCCAGACUCCUACGGGAGGCAGCAGUGGGGAAUAUUGGACAAUGGGGGCAACCCUGAUCCAGCAAUGCCGCGUGAGUGAAGAAGGCCUUCGGGUUGUAAAGCUCUUUUGUCAGGGACGAUAAUGACUGUACCGGGAGAAUAAGCCCCGGCUAACUUCGUGCCAGCAGCCGCGGUAA